UCCGCCCGGUCCAUGGNCNAAGCCUGACGGAGCAAUGCCGCGUGAGUGAUGAAGGUUUUCGGAUCGUAAAGCUCUGUUGCCAGGGAAGAACGCUUGGGAGAGUAACUGCUCUCAAGGUGACGGUACCUGAGAAGAAAGCCCCGGCUAACUACGUGCCAGCAGCCGCGGUAAUACGUAGGGGGCAAGCGUUGUCCGGAAUUAUUGGGCGUAAAGCGCGCGCAGGCGGUCAUUUAAGUCUGGUGUUUAAUCCCGGGGCUCAACCCCGGAUCGCACUGGAAACUGGGUGACUUGAGUGCAGAAGAGGAGAGUGGAAUUCCACGUGUAGCGGUGAAAUGCGUAGAUAUGUGGAGGAACACCAGUGGCGAAGGCGACUCUCUGGGCUGUAACUGACGCUGAGGCGCGAAAGCGUGGGGAGCAAACAGGAUUAGAUACCCUAGUAGUCA
This 443-nucleotide ribosomal RNA is filed under the name Paenibacillus mobilis. RNAcentral describes it as "bacterial SSU rRNA". It matches the Rfam family "Bacterial small subunit ribosomal RNA", at positions 365 to 796 of the family's 1533-position model. The record is from RNAcentral. Lineage: Bacteria; Bacillati; Bacillota; Bacilli; Caryophanales; Paenibacillaceae.